This 254-nucleotide ribosomal RNA is filed under the name uncultured prokaryote. RNAcentral describes it as "partial 16S ribosomal RNA". It matches the Rfam family "Bacterial small subunit ribosomal RNA", at positions 524 to 776 of the family's 1533-position model. The record is from RNAcentral.
UACGGGGGGGGGCAAGCGUUGUUCGGAAUUACUGGGCGUAAAGGGCUCGUAGGCGGCCAACUAAGUCAGACGUGAAAUCCCUCGGCUUGACCGGGGAACUGCGUCUGAUACUGGUUGGCUUGAAUCCGGGAGAGGGAUGUGGAAUUCCAGGUGUAGCGGUGAAAUGCAUAGAUACCAUAAAGAACACCUAUUGCGAAGGCAGCUUACUAAGCUGUAACUGACGCUGAGGCACGAAAGCGUGGGGAGCGAACAGG